RNAcentral lists this ribosomal RNA (250 nucleotides) under uncultured prokaryote. Its description in RNAcentral is "partial 16S ribosomal RNA". It matches the Rfam family "Bacterial small subunit ribosomal RNA", at positions 524 to 774 of the family's 1533-position model. The record is from RNAcentral.
UACGUAGGGGGCGAGCGUUAUCCGGAAUUAUUGGGCGUAAAGCGUACGUAGGUGGUUUGUUAAGCGAGGGGUGAAAGCCUGCGGCUCAACCGCAGCGAGCCUUUCGAACUGGCAGACUUGAGUGCAGGAGGGGAAAGUGGAAUUCCUGGUGUAGCGGUGAAAUGCGUAGAUAUCAGGAGGAACACCGGUGGCGAAGGCGACUUUCUGGACUGUAACUGACACUGAGGUACGAAAGCGUGGGGAGCAAACA